GGCUCGUUGGUCUAGGGGUAUGAUUCCUGCUUCGGGUGCAGGAGGUCCGGGGUUCAAAUCCCGGACGAGCCC
RNAcentral lists this transfer RNA (72 nucleotides) under Schistocerca americana (American grasshopper). Its description in RNAcentral is "tRNA-Pro". It matches the Rfam family "tRNA". Rfam says of the family: Transfer RNA (tRNA) molecules are approximately 80 nucleotides in length. Their secondary structure includes four short double-helical elements and three loops (D, anti-codon, and T loops). The record is from RNAcentral. Lineage: Eukaryota; Metazoa; Arthropoda; Insecta; Orthoptera; Acrididae. RNAcentral also lists the same sequence under 1 other name.